This 441-nucleotide ribosomal RNA is filed under the name uncultured bacterium. Its description in RNAcentral is "partial 16S ribosomal RNA". It matches the Rfam family "Bacterial small subunit ribosomal RNA", at positions 338 to 795 of the family's 1533-position model. The record is from RNAcentral.
CCUACGGGUGGCAGCAGUGGGGAAUAUUGCACAAUGGGGGAAACCCUGAUGCAGCAACGCCGCGUGAGUGAAGAAGGUUUUCGGAUUGUAAAGCUCUGUUAGCAGGGAAGAGGAAGGACGGUACCUGCAGAGGAAGCCACGGCUAACUACGUGCCAGCAGCCGCGGUAAUACGUAGGUGGCAAGCGUUGUUCGGAAUAACUGGGCGUAAAGGAUGCGUAGGCGGUUAAACAAGUUAUAUGUUAAAUAUAUAGGCUUAACCUGUAGAAAGCAUAUAAAACUGUUUAACUAGAGUGCAGGAGAGGUAAGUGGAAUUCCUAGUGUAGCGGUGAAAUGCUUAGAUAUCACGCAGAACCCCGAUUGCGAAGGCAGCCUGCCAAGCCAUGACUGACGCUGAUGCACGAAAGCGUGGGGAUCAAACAGGAUUAGAUACCCGAGUAGUC